RNAcentral lists this long non-coding RNA (309 nucleotides) under Brassica napus (rape). RNAcentral describes it as "long non-coding RNA (BNAP_LNC026544)". The record is from RNAcentral. Lineage: Eukaryota; Viridiplantae; Streptophyta; Magnoliopsida; Brassicales; Brassicaceae.
AUGAGUGUGAAAUGGGGCCGUUUCUAGGAGAAUGAUUGCAAGGCUAUAUUCUCUAAGUUCACUCAUGAAAACCAGGAAUAGUUCAGGGCCACAAUGGACACAAUAGAGAACUAAGUUCUUCGAGAAAAUAAAGUUGUGUUAUGCUUGUUGUCUCGGUCUACAUAUCGGUUGGUUCAAGACAUCAUGUUCAUCUUCUGGUAGAGUAAACCCGACAUAUAUUAACUAUGACUGGUUUAAGGUUUAAAAUGCCACCAACUCAAACACAGUGAAGUUUUUGCAAACACUCUCGAUAAGUCUGUCUAGUCUAGU